GGAGAGCGCGGGAGUCUCUUCCUGUGCUGGGGGCUCUUGGAGGGGAAAGUCCCCAUCUCAAAUGUGUGAGAGUAUGACUGACCAAAUAAACUUGGAAAAUACAGAGAAAUAGAAAACAGAAAACUAAAGUCACCUUCAACCUCUACACCCUGAAACAACUAUUGGAAUAAAAGAUGAAAGAGAAGAAUGUAAGGAGGACUGUAAUAUUUCACACAGGAAACCAUCCAGCUUACUUUCCAGGAGGACAUGAAAUGAUCAUUUCAGAGAGCUGCCACCUAUGUACUGGGAGGUUGUCAGCACUUAACAGAUCUGGAGACUGAGAAGAUCAAGAUCAAGGUGCUUGCAGAUCCUAAGUCUGGGAAGGGCCUACUUGCUGGCUGUCAUCCCUUAUCCUCAUCUUGUAGAUAACAGAGAGAGGAGCCAAGUUCUCUCAUGUCUCUUUUUUUUAAAAUUAAAAAAACUUUUU
This is a non-coding RNA of Microcebus murinus (gray mouse lemur), 466 nucleotides long. Lineage: Eukaryota; Metazoa; Chordata; Mammalia; Primates; Cheirogaleidae. The record is from RefSeq and is a predicted model, not a curated record.